UACGGGGGGGGCAAGCGUUGUUCGGAUUUACUGGGCGUAAAGGGCGCGUAGGCGGUCUCGGAAAGUGAGUUGUGAAAUCUCCGAGCUUAACUCGGAAAGGUCAACUGAUACUGCGGGGCUAGAGUGCGGAAGGGGCAACUGGAAUUCUUGGUGUAGCGGUGAAAUGCGUAGAUAUCAAGAGGAACACCUGCGGCGAAGGCGGGUUGCUGGGCCGACACUGACGCUGAGGCGCGAAAGCUAGGGGAGCGAACGGG
RNAcentral lists this ribosomal RNA (254 nucleotides) under uncultured bacterium. RNAcentral describes it as "partial 16S ribosomal RNA". It matches the Rfam family "Bacterial small subunit ribosomal RNA", at positions 524 to 776 of the family's 1533-position model. The record is from RNAcentral.